RNAcentral lists this transfer RNA (74 nucleotides) under Oscillospiraceae bacterium. RNAcentral describes it as "tRNA-Met". It matches the Rfam family "tRNA". Rfam says of the family: Transfer RNA (tRNA) molecules are approximately 80 nucleotides in length. Their secondary structure includes four short double-helical elements and three loops (D, anti-codon, and T loops). The record is from RNAcentral. Lineage: Bacteria; Bacillati; Bacillota; Clostridia; Eubacteriales; Oscillospiraceae.
GGACCAUUAGCUCGAAGGUCGAGCGGCUGGCUCAUAACCGGCUGGCCCAGGUUCGAUUCCUGGAUGGGCCACCA